GAUGAACGCUAGCUACAGGCAUAACACAUGCAAGUCGAGGGGAAACGAUAUUGGAAGCUUGCUUCCGAUAGGCGUCGACCGGCGCACGGGUGAGUAACGCGUAUCCAACCUGCCCACCACUUGGGGAUAACCUUGCGAAAGUAAGACUAAUACCCAAUGACGUCCAUAGAAGACAUCUGAAAUGGAUUAAAGAUUUAUCGGUGUUGGAUGGGGAUGCGUCGGAUUAGCUUGUUGGCGGGGUAACGGCCUACCAAGGCGACGAUCAGUAGGGGUUCUGAGAGGAAGGUCCCCCACAUUGGAACUGAGACACGGUCCAAACUCCUACGGGAGGCAGCAGUGAGGAAUAUUGGUCAAUGGGCGAGAGCCUGAACCAGCCAAGUAGCGUGCAGGAUGACGGCCCUAUGGGUUGUAAACUGCUUUUAUAAGGGAAUAAAGUGAGUCUCGUGAGGCCUUUUGCAUGUACCUUAUGAAUAAGGACCGGCUAAUUCCGUGCCAGCCGCCGCAGUAA
RNAcentral lists this ribosomal RNA (508 nucleotides) under uncultured bacterium. RNAcentral's name for it is "partial 16S ribosomal RNA". It matches the Rfam family "Bacterial small subunit ribosomal RNA", at positions 28 to 523 of the family's 1533-position model. The record is from RNAcentral.